AUCCAUCUGACGAAUCCUAAAUAAAACGAAACGCGCGCCCUGGAU
This 45-nucleotide non-coding RNA is filed under the name Schistosoma mattheei. The record is from RNAcentral. Lineage: Eukaryota; Metazoa; Platyhelminthes; Trematoda; Strigeidida; Schistosomatidae.